CUGGCCCGGCGGGGGAGCCGCAAACGCGGUCCGACGCGCGCAACACUCCCGUCGCCGCCCCACUUGCCGCUGAC
Long non-coding RNA from Camponotus floridanus (Florida carpenter ant), 74 nucleotides. RefSeq lists it as uncharacterized. The transcript is spliced from 3 exons. The record is from RefSeq and is a predicted model, not a curated record. Lineage: Eukaryota; Metazoa; Arthropoda; Insecta; Hymenoptera; Formicidae.